GGGGUCGUAGUCAAGUGGUUAAGACACUGCCCUUUCAAGGCAGGAGCGAUGGGUUCAAUUCCCUCCGACCUCA
This 73-nucleotide transfer RNA is filed under the name Caudoviricetes sp. Its description in RNAcentral is "tRNA-Glu". It matches the Rfam family "tRNA". Rfam says of the family: Transfer RNA (tRNA) molecules are approximately 80 nucleotides in length. Their secondary structure includes four short double-helical elements and three loops (D, anti-codon, and T loops). The record is from RNAcentral. Lineage: Duplodnaviria; Heunggongvirae; Uroviricota; Caudoviricetes.